RNAcentral lists this ribosomal RNA (319 nucleotides) under uncultured eukaryote. RNAcentral's name for it is "partial 18S ribosomal RNA". It matches the Rfam family "Eukaryotic small subunit ribosomal RNA", at positions 1470 to 1796 of the family's 1831-position model. The record is from RNAcentral.
CCCUUAGAUGUUCUGGGCUGCACGCGUGUUACAAUCGGGAGUACAACAAGAUUGCAAAUCCUAGUGGAUGAGUGGUUCUUCGAAAUUUUCUGAAGACUGGGAUAGUUGAUUGAAAUUAUUCAACUCAAACGAGGAAUUCCUUGUAAUUGUAAUUCAUUAUAUUGUAAUGAAUACGUCCCUGCCCUUUGUACACACCCCCGUCGCUCCUACCGAUUGAACGAUCCGGUGAAUUAUUUGGAGUAGCUCUGGAAGUUGCAGAACUUCCUAUGUCACGAAAUUUUGUAAACCUUAUCGUUUAGAGGAAGGAAAAGUCGUAACA